UACGGAGGGUGCGAGCGUUGUCCGGAAUCACUGGGCGUAAAGGGCGCGUAGGUGGCCUGUGGAAGUCUGCGGUGAAAGCCCGGCGCUCAACGCCGGGUCGGCCGUGGAUACUCUCGGGCUCGAGCUUACUAGAGGCAGAUGGAAUUCCGGGUGUAGCGGUGGAAUGCGUAGAGAUCAGGAGGAACACCGGUGGCGAAGGCGGAUCUCUGGGCCAUUACUGACGCUGAGGAGCGAAAGCGUGGGGAGCGAACAGG
Molecule: ribosomal RNA, 254 nt
Filed under: uncultured bacterium
Lineage: Bacteria
Description: partial 16S ribosomal RNA
Rfam family: Bacterial small subunit ribosomal RNA
Source: RNAcentral